RNAcentral lists this transfer RNA (88 nucleotides) under Hymenobacter negativus. RNAcentral's name for it is "tRNA-Ser". It matches the Rfam family "tRNA". From Rfam's summary of the family: Transfer RNA (tRNA) molecules are approximately 80 nucleotides in length. Their secondary structure includes four short double-helical elements and three loops (D, anti-codon, and T loops). Further hydrogen bonds mediate the characteristic L-shaped molecular structure. tRNAs have two regions of fundamental functional importance: the anti-codon, which is responsible for specific mRNA codon recognition, and the 3' end, to which the tRNAs corresponding amino acid is attached (by aminoacyl-tRNA synthetases). tRNAs cope with the degeneracy of the genetic code in two manners: having more than one tRNA (with a specific anti-codon) for a particular amino acid; and 'wobble' base-pairing, i.e. permitting non-standard base-pairing at the 3rd anti-codon position. Lineage: Bacteria; Pseudomonadati; Bacteroidota; Cytophagia; Cytophagales; Hymenobacteraceae. The record is from RNAcentral.
UGAGAGGUGUCCGAGUGGUCGAAGGAGCACGCCUGGAAAGUGUGUAUAGCCCAAAAGGUUAUCGUGGGUUCGAAUCCCAUCCUCUCAG